RNAcentral lists this ribosomal RNA (433 nucleotides) under uncultured bacterium. RNAcentral describes it as "partial 16S ribosomal RNA". It matches the Rfam family "Bacterial small subunit ribosomal RNA", at positions 29 to 507 of the family's 1533-position model. The record is from RNAcentral.
AACGAACGCUGGCGGCAUGCCUAACACAUGCAAGUCGAACGAGACCUUCGGGUCUAGUGGCGCACGGGUGCGUAACGCGUGGGAACCUGCCCUUAGGUUCGGAAUGACUCCCCGAAAGGGGUGCUAAUACCGGAUAAUGUCUUCGGACCAAAGAUUUAUCGCCUUUGGAUGGGCCCGCGUUGGAUUAGCUAGUUGGUAGGGUAAAAGCCUACCAAGGCGACGAUCCAUAGCUGGUCUGAGAGGAUGAUCAGCCACACUGGGACUGAGACACGGCCCAGACUCCUACGGGAGGCAGCAGUGGGGAAUAUUGGACAAUGGGCGAAAGCCUGAUCCAGCAAUGCCGCGUGAGUGAUGAAGGCCUUAGGGUUGUAAAGCUCUUUUACCCGGGAUGAUAAUGACAGUACCGGGAGAAUAAGCUCCGGCUAACUCCGUA